GUCACACGAAGGUCUUCAUGGGAGAAGAGAAGGAAAAGGUCAAAAAUAACUUCCUGCUUAUAUAGUUUUCUCAGUUUCUUUGAUGGCUUAAAAUACUCAGUAUGCCAAGGUGCCAUAUGUUGGGGUAUCAUGUUCUAAGCCCUGACACCUCUGUAACAACUCAGAAUUUCUUCUCCGGGCUUCCUUCAGGUACAAAAAGAGGAAAGCUGAGGCUCAAAAUAAGUGGGGAAAGCAGAACUGCCUUAGACCAACAAUGUCAGGGCUGGUGAUGCCCUCUUGUGGCAUCCUGGAGAAUUACUGCCAUCUGACUUCAUUUCCUCCGACUUGGAGGGACUAUUCCCUCACAAUACCUCAGUCACUGAUUCAUGCAUGCCAGGUAUUGUCCUAACAGUAUCCCUGUCCUCGUGGAGUUUACAGUCAGAUGGAGGACAUACUAUUAAUAAACAUAAUAAGGUAAUGCUAUGGAAAAAAAUAGCAGAGUAAGGUGGGAGGGGAGGUGGUGAGUAUAGAGAAUGGUAGUGUGCAUUGCAAUUUUAAAAAGAGUAGGCCUUCUUGUAGAGUUGAAGGGAGAUGGGGGAGUGAGCCCUGUGGAUAUAUGGGAUGAAGUUCUAGGCAGAGUGAACAGUCAGUACAAUAGCGUUGAGACAAGAGCUUGUUUGCCAAUUUCUUUUUUUCUUUUUCUUUUUUUGAGACGGCGUCUUGCUCUGUCGCC
Molecule: long non-coding RNA, 712 nt
Filed under: Homo sapiens (human)
Lineage: Eukaryota; Metazoa; Chordata; Mammalia; Primates; Hominidae
Description: PREDICTED lncRNA (TCONS_00016221)
Source: RNAcentral